Molecule: ribosomal RNA, 444 nt
Filed under: uncultured bacterium
Lineage: Bacteria
Description: SSU rRNA
Rfam family: Bacterial small subunit ribosomal RNA
Source: RNAcentral
AGAGCGAACGCUGGCGGCAGGCUUAACACAUGCAAGUCGAACGGAUCCUUCGGGAUUAGUGGCGGACGGGUGAGUAACACGUGGGAACGUGCCUUUAGGUUCGGAACAACACAGGGAAACUUGUGCUAAUACCGGAUGUGCCCUUCGGGGGAAAGAUUUAUCGCCUUUAGAGCGGCCCGCGUCUGAUUAGCUUGUUGGUGAGGUAAAGGCUCACCAAGGCUACGAUCAGUAGCUGGUCUGAGAGGAUGGCCAGCCACAUUGGGACUGAGACACGGCCCAAACUCCUACGGGAGGCAGCAGUGGGGAAUCUUGCGCAAUGGGGGAAACCCUGACGCAGCCAUGCCGCGUGGAUGAUGAAGGUCUUAGGAUUGUAAAAUCCUUUCAGCGGGGACGAUAAUGACGGUACCGCAGAAGAAGCCCGGCUAACUUCGCGCCAGCAGCCGC